Molecule: microRNA precursor, 110 nt
Filed under: Mus musculus (house mouse)
Lineage: Eukaryota; Metazoa; Chordata; Mammalia; Rodentia; Muridae
Description: predicted gene, 56226 (ENSMUSG00002075553.1)
Source: RNAcentral
GUAAUGUGACCAAUAUAUAUAUAUAUAUAUAUGUGUGUGUGUGUGUGUGUGUGUGUGUGUGUGUGUGUAUACACACACACACACACACACACACUAUACAACACACACAC